UCCCGGGUUGUGUAAGCGGUUAACACGCCAGAUUUUGGUUCUGGAAAUAGGGGUUCGAGUCCUCUCCCGGGAG
Molecule: transfer RNA, 73 nt
Filed under: Phytoactinopolyspora halophila
Lineage: Bacteria; Bacillati; Actinomycetota; Actinomycetes; Jiangellales; Jiangellaceae
Also listed under: 1 other name
Rfam family: tRNA
About the family: Transfer RNA (tRNA) molecules are approximately 80 nucleotides in length.
Source: Rfam by way of RNAcentral